Molecule: ribosomal RNA, 426 nt
Filed under: uncultured bacterium
Lineage: Bacteria
Description: bacterial SSU rRNA
Rfam family: Bacterial small subunit ribosomal RNA
Source: RNAcentral
GUGAGGAAUAUUGCACAAUGAGCGAAAGCUAGAUGCAGCAACGCCGCGUGGACGAUGAAGGCCUUCGGGUCGUAAAGUCCUUUUCAGAGGGACGAGUGAGGACGGUACCUCUGGAAUAAGUCACGGCUAACUACGUGCCAGCAGCCGCGGUAAAACGUAGGUGGCAAGCGUUAUCCGGAUUCACUGGGCGUAAAGCGCCUGCAGGCGGUCUUGUAAGUGGGAUGUGAAAUCUCCCGGCUUAACUGGGAGGGGUCAUUCCAUACUGCGGGACUGGAGGGCAGAAGAGGGAAGUGGAAUUCCCGGUGUAGUGGUGAAAUGCGUAGAUAUCGGGAGGAACACCAGUGGCGAAGGCGACUUCCUGGUCUGCUUCUGACGCUAAGAGGCGAAAGCUAGGGGAGCGAACGGGAUUAGAAACCCCAGUAGUCC